This is a non-coding RNA of Mycena floridula, 112 nucleotides long. NCBI's taxonomy places the organism in Eukaryota, Fungi, Basidiomycota, Agaricomycetes, Agaricales, Mycenaceae. The record is from the annotation of a GenBank genome assembly.
UCCCUCUUAGCUCAGUUGGUAGAGCGCGUCACUAGUACAGGCUUCAGUCAGUUCGCUAACUUGAACGCUAAGCACGAUGACGAGGUCAGUUGUUCGAGUCAGCUAGAGGGAA